GCCGCCAUAGCUCAGUUGGUAGUAGCGCAUGACUGUUAAUCAUGAUGUCGUAGGUUCGAGUCCUACUGGCGGAG
RNAcentral lists this transfer RNA (74 nucleotides) under Streptococcus pneumoniae. RNAcentral's name for it is "tRNA-Asn(gtt)". It matches the Rfam family "tRNA". From Rfam's summary of the family: Transfer RNA (tRNA) molecules are approximately 80 nucleotides in length. Lineage: Bacteria; Bacillati; Bacillota; Bacilli; Lactobacillales; Streptococcaceae. The record is from RNAcentral.